Molecule: ribosomal RNA, 1436 nt
Filed under: uncultured organism
Description: SSU rRNA
Rfam family: Bacterial small subunit ribosomal RNA
Source: RNAcentral
AGCUACAGGCUUAACACAUGCAAGUCGAGGGGCAGCAUGGUCUUAGCUUGCUAAGGCCGAUGGCGACCGGCGCACGGGUGAGUAACACGUAUCCAACCUGCCGUCUACUCUUGGACAGCCUUCUGAAAGGAAGAUUAAUACAAGAUGGCAUCAUGAGUCCGCAUGUUCACAUGAUUAAAGGUAUUCCGGUAGACGAUGGGGAUGCGUUCCAUUAGAUAGUAGGCGGGGUAACGGCCCACCUAGUCUUCGAUGGAUAGGGGUUCUGAGAGGAAGGUCCCCCACAUUGGAACUGAGACACGGUCCAAACUCCUACGGGAGGCAGCAGUGAGGAAUAUUGGUCAAUGGGCGAGAGCCUGAACCAGCCAAGUAGCGUGAAGGAUGACUGCCCUAUGGGUUGUAAACUUCUUUUAUAAAGGAAUAAAGUCGGGUAUGGAUACCCGUUUGCAUGUACUUUAUGAAUAAGGAUCGGCUAACUCCGUGCCAGCAGCCGCGGUAAUACGGAGGAUCCGAGCGUUAUCCGGAUUUAUUGGGUUUAAAGGGAGCGUAGAUGGAUGUUUAAGUCAGUUGUGAAAGUUUGCGGCUCAACCGUAAAAUUGCAGUUGAUACUGGAUAUCUUGAGUGCAGUUGAGGCAGGCGGAAUUCGUGGUGUAGCGGUGAAGUGCUUAGAUAUCACGAAGAACUCCGAUUGCGAAGGCAGCCUGCUAAGCUGCAACUGACAUUGAGGCUCGAAAGUGUGGGUAUCAAACAGGAUUAGAUACCCUGGUAGUCCACACGGUAAACGAUGAAUACUCGCUGUUUGCGAUAUACUGCAAGCGGCCAAGCGAAAGCGUUAAGUAUUCCACCUGGGGAGUACGCCGGCAACGGUGAAACUCAAAGGAAUUGACGGGGGCCCGCACAAGCGGAGGAACAUGUGGUUUAAUUCGAUGAUACGCGAGGAACCUUACCCGGGCUUAAAUUGCAGAUGAAUUACGGUGAAAGCCGUAAGCCGCAAGGCAUCUGUGAAGGUGCUGCAUGGUUGUCGUCAGCUCGUGCCGUGAGGUGUCGGCUUAAGUGCCAUAACGAGCGCAACCCUUGUUGUCAGUUACUAACAGGUUCCGCUGAGGACUCUGACAAGACUGCCAUCGUAAGAUGUGAGGAAGGUGGGGAUGACGUCAAAUCAGCACGGCCCUUACGUCCGGGGCUACACACGUGUUACAAUGGGGGGUACAGAGGGCCGCUACCACGCGAGUGGAUGCCAAUCCCCAAAACCUCUCUCAGUUCGGACUGGAGUCUGCAACCCGACUCCACGAAGCUGGAUUCGCUAGUAAUCGCGCAUCAGCCACGGCGCGGUGAAUACGCUCCCGGGCCUUGUACACACCGCCCGUCAAGCCAUGGGAGCCGGGGGUACCUGAAGUGCGUAACCGCGAGGAGCGCCCUAGGGUAAAACUGGUGACUGG